AUGAGCCAGAAACCCGUCAUAAGACAACAAGAAUAAAACAUAAGGGAAUACUCAACAUAUGACGACCCAACAUGAUAUACAAAGUUAUACAUGUGACAUACGGGCCUAUAAGGCCGACAUGACCAUUUGUAAACUCAACACAUAGGCCAACACGACCAUACAAGUAUCCAUAAACCUGACAUCUGUCUACAAGCCUCUAAGAGUACAUAAAAUCAUAAAGGUCGGGAUAGGGCCCCGCCAUACCAAUCAAUACAUAUCCAAAGCAUACUGACCAAAUAGGCAACUCCGGAGUAAGUGGAGUGCACCAACACCUCCGCUGAGCUGAUAGCCUACUCGGAGGAAUGUCAACCUAUCAAUUGGACCUGCGGGCAUGAAACGCAGCGUCCCCAGGCAAAAAGGACGUCAGUACAAAUAAAGUACUAAGUAUGUAAGGCAAGAAAGCAUAAAUAAAAACAGUAAUAUAAAAAGAGAUAGGGGAGAUACAACAUGUAACAUCUGCGUGCCUCUGGGGGCUACUGACAUGAAAUGCAUAAUACAUAUAUAUAUACAUAAACUUUUAAAAACAUAUGCCUCUGUAGGCAUUAUCAUCAUCAUCAUAUCGUACCCGGCCUCAAAGAGGACUCGGUAAAAAUGUACCCGGCCAUCAUAAGGCUCGGUAGAAUCGUACCCGGCCAUGUGGAGCUCAUUAACCCAACUGAUCAGUGGUUGCACAAUAGGUGCCAUACCCGGUCGACUAUAGCGCGGCUCGGUAGAUUAAAGUAGAUACAUAUAUAAUGCAUGUUGGACUCAUAGAAUUACGUUCUAAACUUUUCGGAGUGAUGUAAGGUCAUUGCACCUUCGAUUAAUAUUAUGGACAUCCCUACCAUCAAUAUGAGACUUAGUAGGAUUUAAGGAUCAUACACACUUGCUUAGAAUAACUUUAUAAGGAAAGAACAACAUGGAAAACCUUAGUUUCUAGGAGUAGAUCCGUUAUGAAUUAGCAUACCAUUUAUGUUCGUUUCACUUUAGAUCAUGCCAAUAGAAAGAAGUAAGUGCCUUAACAUACCUUAACCAUGGUGAGUCCUUAAUACCUCCUAAUCUACUCUUCAAACAACUCAACUCAAUCUACCAUUGCAUAAGAAGAUUCAAAAUCAGUGUUGAAUAAAGGCUAAGUCUGCAACUUAAACUUGUAGUUCGUUUAUAUAAAUUCGGGCAGCAUCUCCCCUAAAACAAAGCCUCAUCCAAUACCACAUACCAACAAUAAUUACUAGAGAAAUCCAGCAAUACAUAUUUAUCAAUAACAAGACACCAUAAAACAACAACAAGUCAUAACUAUUUUACGACGAGCAACAAGCUCCAAUUGGAAUUCGUAUACCCGAUAUCAUCCCUUAUAGACUUUUUACUUUAACUUAAUAGUAUCAUUAACAUGAUAAUGAAGUCAUUUAUCAAUAAUUCCAGUCUUAUACCAUAUAUCCAUAACAAAGAAAAUGAUCCACAACUCCAAUUAUUCUUAAUUAGUAACUUUAUACACUAGUUCAUGUCUAGUUCAUCCAUUUAACUUAACCAAUGCCAAGAUAACCUUAAGCGCCUGUAGGAACACAAUAUAAUUACCUUCUACAGUGUAUGCAAGUUGAAAUCCAUGUUAUAUUUAGACUACAACAUCCCAACACACCCCAAUCAAUUCAUACCAAAAACGACGACUAUAGUAGUGUCCAACGCCCCGAAAAUAUUACAAAGAAUGACUAAUCCAUCAUUUCGCCAUUAGGUGGUAUUUCUCCACACAAUUUAUCUUCCAAAAAGUCCAUUAAAUAGCAGCAAAAUAUACUACCCAAAAGCUACACGAAACAGCCCACAAAACAGUCCAUUACAAAUCAAAUAACUCGAACCCACGGCUUCCGAUCACCGUCCCGUGAAUUCUAACUAUUAUGAAAUAAAUUAAUCAAUAUUCCUUGAUGUUUAAGAGCUUGGAACCAGAAAUUAGGCAUUUUUAUUAACUUCAAAAUACCUUCCAAAACUCAAACUACAAAGAAAAAGAGAGGCAAUAUAGCAAUACUUACGUUGUGGGGAUCGUUCUAGUGUUAUUACUUCUAGAUUUCAUGCCCGGGAUGAUGGUAUUGUUUGAAACCCUUGUAGAGAGAUUAAAGGUGAUGUUAGGGGUCUUAUUUGGUCGUGCUCUCUGGAAAUAUGCAGAAACAGACAAGAUAAAGGAGAUAAUCUCCAUUUUGUUGAAAAGUCAAAAGAUGCUACUUGGUACCCUAUAAUUGGCUCGUCUUCCAACGCUUAUAACUUUUUAUCCGGGUGUCGUGUGAGCAAACAGUUAAGAGUGUUGGAAACUAAAUUUCAAGACCUUCAAUUUGGUAUAUAAUAUGUCCCAAAAAGACCUCAUAUAGCACACGAAAUUUAUUACUCAAAAAACUUCAUUACAAGACAAAUCCUUAGUCGGUUUUUCCGCAACUUAAAUCCGAUUUUUCUCAAACUUUAUACUUCAUAUACAAACAUCAUAUAUAGUCAUAUCAUGACUUUAAACUCAUUUAAAUCAUGAUUAAAAAGUCUCAUAUUCAUCUUAACUUGCUUAACACUUCGGCAAACCUUUCUUGUCCUUAUAGAAGGAUUUCAUCCUUUUCGAGUUUAUGUUAGAUAAUCUUAUAAUGAUAGUAACGUAUAAAGUACGGGGUGGAACAACAUAUACCCUUAUAAACAUUUAUAUUUGAAUAUAACUCUUAAAGUCUUGCAAAAAAAAUAUGGGACAUAACACCAUUAAAUCACUUUAUAUACUUUCCAAGAGGAUCUCAUUUCUGAGCUUACAUCAACGGACUUACGACGUACUUUCACGUACAAAAACAUGGGUUGUAAAAUUAUUCUCCCCUUUGAAGCAUUCUUCCUCGAAUGUUGACUGAUGCGCUUCUCAUUCUCAUACCAUUUGGCUCUUUAUGAAUACUUUAAUAUUGUCCUUUGUCAUCUAGGUAAUUGUUCUGUGAAUAAAUUUAAAAACCAGAGCAUUCCCCCCUUUAGGCCUAUUCUCACCUCGCGAAUUAUGGCCGGAGUUCUUCCAAUCUCGUAACUUCGACGACCUUCUAUGAUGUAUCCUAUAUGACUAUGUCCUUUUAUGCACGACUUUUCUCUCUUUCUUUCCUCCAGGUUUUUGCCAAUCUCUUGGCUUCAGUUUGUGAAUACAUAUAUAGAACUAUGACAUAAUGUCCCUCUAGGCAUAUAUAGGUAUACUUAAGCUCUUCGCUUGGUACUUUGAUGAAUGUACGACUAUUGCUAUAUUUUGUUUUAUAGCCUUGGUAUUAUUACCGAGGUGUGCUACAUAACUCUAGGUUACUUUCUCAUUGCUUGUCCCAUAACGUGCUGGCGCAACCCUGCCACAUUAGGAACAUAUAAUCGACCUUAAUAUUUGAGGACUCCAUCUCACCCUGCCACAUUAGGAACAUAUAAUUGACCUCGAUAUCCGAUGACUCCAUCUCCUGUAAUUUGAAAGUCUUCUCCUUUUGAGGGGUUGUAUCUCUAUAAUGAUCUAGCACAUGAUAUUCAUACUGGCAUUCCUUCACUUCAGUUACUAAAGAGGAGGUUUUCAUGUCCUAAAUAGUAACUCUGGUACCACCUGCAUCUAGUAAUCGAAUUCCAAGAUUAGCUAGCAGAUGAAUCUCACAAGCUAUCUCACUCUUCUAUGCCUGUAAAUAUGAUAGGCUACACAUAGAUCUAAGAUUGAGGGUGUUGACUACUACAUUUACCUUCCUUGGAUGAUAUAAAAUAUAAACAUCAUAGUCUUUCACCAACUCCAACUAUCGCCUCAGAUGUAAUACAUUGUCACUAAGGCUCACGUCUUAUCGGAGAACAUCUGAAGUGAUUUUCUUGAUGCACCUAGGGACGAUACUAUACUUUAAUGACUGCAUUUUCAUAACAUCCUAACGUAUUCAUCUUAGGGGGGCAUUCUAAUACCGUACCAUCUAUGAAAUCCUUUUUCUUUAAAUCAUUACUCAAUCGAAGGCCCAAACAUCAUUCUCUUAACUAACACAAUUACACUCUUAUUCUAAUACCAGGGCAGUAUUCCAUCUCUUCUAAUUGCUCAUGUUCUUAGACUCCUCUGAGUUCAUUCAGAGUGUACCGAGCUUUCUAUAGCUCAUGGAAAGCAUCAGCUCUCUUGUUUUGACAGGUUUAAUCAUGAGACCUUGACUAUUAUUGUCACCUUCUCACUCACAUUUACCAUACUUACCUUUAAAUCUCGCACCGUAUCUUCUAUCGAUUUCAUAACCUCCCUUCUACAUUGGUGGAAUUCACAUCCAUACCUUAAAUCUCUACUAUAAUACUUGCAACCCUGGUGCAUACAUAAUCUGGUGGGAGCUUCGUAUUAACGUCUUAUGAGGCUGGUACUCUUCUAAUUGCUUUAUUAUAGAGCUUUAUAGAAUAUAAUUGUUGUAUUAUCUCUUUUAUAUCUCUGCUAUUAAAAGUGUUCCUACUAUGGUUUGAGUCACGAUUUCUAUAAUCAUCUAGGUCUAACAAUCGGACUCAUGAUGUAACUUUCGAGCUUCCUCUUCCUUCUCAGCCUUUAAUUAAGCUUAGGCUAUCCUCCAAUCUCCAGCUUAGGGUAUUAGCUAUUACAUUAGCCUUUCAUGGACUCUAUGUAGCAUCAAUGAUAUAAUCUUCUAACAAUUCAAGCCUUUAUAGGUGACGUGGACUUAAUUCUUUCUUUUAACUUAUACCAGAGUCUCCUAUAGCUGUAUGAAUGUCAACAUAUAUGCUGCAUGGAUAUAACUCUGAAGUCUUAAGUGCAUUCACAAUGUAAUUAACACUGGAUUAUUGAUUGAAUAAUUUCUUUCGUGCCUUCUCAGCAUUUUUUUUAAAUGUAAGCAAUCACUUUUCCUGGUUGUUAUGCCACUUGUUGCAUGAAUACUUGGCUUAUCUUAUUGCCCACCAAUACUUGAAUUUCCUAUAACUCAUAUGAUCUCAAAUAUCACUUUUGACUUCCCGUUCAUUAGUAACGAUAGGUGCCACUUUCUUAUGGAGUGUAUACCAUAUUGUAGUGAGACUGUUGUUACAAGACCUUUUCUUCUUUAUAUCGUUAUGCUUAAGUUGAAGCCUUCUUCCUUAUUUUCUCAGCUAGUCUUUCUUUGUAGUACUUAAGGAGACCUUCUGGAUCUUGUAAAGUUAUGAUCUCGGUAUACUGUAUACCCGAAGGAAUUUUCGAUGUUCUUACUCGCCUACAAACAUCCUUAGUUACAUACCUCGUGCCCUUGGGCUUGUAGGGUUACUUGUAAACUCAGAUUUUUGAUUGUUUCCUUAGUGGCACUCUCCAUUAUUUCCAUAACACUUAUACGAUACCUUUAGUAACCCAACUCCUAGCUGAAUAUUUCUCAAGGUUACGACAUUAUAUCUGCGAGACUAAAUUUACUAGAUUAGGAUUCACUACGUUUAUCAUGCAUGAUCUGCUGAUUUGCUUAUAAACUCUUGUAUAGCCAUAACUUGGCUCUUCUUGAAUCAACUACAAACUACUCGUUGGUCCAUUCCCAUAUCUAUAUUCCGCGUAAUCUCUCUUUAGUUAUUUACUUUGUCUUAAGUUACCUCUUGUAUUGGCUCAUUAUGUAUCAAGUGUUCAUUUGCACUUAUUUAUCAAUAUCAUCGGGAGCGCAACCCUUACCGCUUCUCUCUAGUGUCAUGCCUGCAUAAUGUUCUAGAGUCAUAUCAUAUCUAUAGGAUCUGAAUAGAUACUAUCUCAUUCCUUUCACCCUUUUACCGCAUUUCUCCUUUACUAUUCCAUAGUUACCUCUUCAUCUUGCCAUUUUUUUCAUAUUUUCACUAACAUCUUACUCGCCUUGCUAACCUCUCUAUACUGGGGAUAAUUAAAUUUAUUAAGCACAAGGGUGAUACUUAGCGUAACUAGCACACUUACUCCCUUAAGCUUAACUCUGCUCCACGUGCUUGCUUUAGGAAAUCAUCUUCCUGAAUGAACCUUGAAGGUUAUUAUUUUUUUUGUCCAUUCUAUUAUUGCCGGAAUGUUAUCUCUGAAAUUCUCAUGAUAUCAAUCAUUAUAAAAUCCUUCAGUCCCUAAUUUAUAUUUAGUUUAUCUUGUUCACCAGCCCAUACUGAUUUUUAUUACUCUGGGGUCUAACCUUUCCUCCUGGUAAUCACGUUGAAGUCACCAACUCAUUUCUCGAAAUAAGGAUAUGACUUUAUGUCUUAUACUCUUUUAUUGCCUCAAGUCCUGCCACCUCUUGUAUUUUUCCUUCACUUGACUAUAGACUCUGUCAUCGUGUCAUAUUUUGAUUUAAUGUUAUCACCCAUAUAUUACAUCUUACUCAGGAUGCUUCAUUUACUCUCUUCUUAUUCUCCGGAUAAUAUCUUUAUCUAUCACUUUAUUCUGAAAACUCUAACAAAAUGUUCUUUCCCUUUUAGCUCCCCUUGCUUCAUCUCACUAGCUCUUCGGAAUGCCUAACAUUCUCCCUUUUUUUUACUCGGGGUUGGAGUCAUACUAAGGUAAAUAUUUAUCCCUUCUAGGAUCCCACUGCCUAUCUUCUGAAAUUUCUGAAUAUUUCAGUAUUCAUAUCUGAUUGUACUAUUCUAAAGCUCACCAUCUAGGUGUCUCACAAGGAGAUCUAUUACCACAUUUGCACUAUCCUUCGGAUACAUUAGUUAAUGAUAACAAUCCAUCCAUAAUUUUUGGUUACUCUAACCCGAAUUGGAUCUUGAUAUCACCUUCUUCUUUUAAACUAUAUUUGUUAGCUCCCAUAGGGCACACCUGAGAUGUGUGUGGUCAAUUGUAUAUAUCACCGUUAACAUUGAAGGUAACACCAAUACUUACAUUUCUCUGCCUGAAUUGUAAAUACUGAUAAUCUUCAUUAACUAGGUACCUCGUAACCCUUUGUCAUCUUGCUUGUUUUACUUGCUGAAACUUGUGUCUACUUUCCGAUUCACUUAUUCCUUUUUACCAUACGAGUGGAUAGAUAUUCUUGCCUUAUGGCUCCUUAUCAAGAAGCUUACACAUCUUAGAACACACAUGAUCUGCUGAAGACCCCACAUUUGCUCAUCAAAAGCAUGGUGCAAAAUCGAGUUCCUCUGACUCAACUCUUCCACAACCACAGUCAAUGUCAUACCAACUGUUUAUUUAGAUGAGGUAUCGUUGUAUUACGAAUAUAAUAAAAUUUAGAAGUUUGAAUUCUUACAAUUGAGCUCUACAACACGAUCUAGAGCAAGAAAAAAGAGUGACAGUCCUAAAUGCCCUGUAGCUUCAUGCUUAUAAGUGUGGUGCACAACACACCCAUAAACAAUAUUCUACUAGACACGGCUUGUAGACUCCGUAGGACAGAACUGCUCUGAUACCACUUCUGUCAUGACCCAAACCGAAGGGCCGCGACGGGCACCCGGUGCCUUACUCAACCGAGACCAACAUAACAUAUCUUUCUUAUUAUACUAUCUUGAGUAAAUGAGCCAGAAACCCGUCAUGACAUAACAAGAAUAAAACAUAAGGGAAUACUCAACAUAUGACGACCCAACAUGAUAUACAAACUUAUACAUGUGACAUACGGGCCUAUAAGGCCGACAUGACCAUUUGUAAACUCAACACAUAGGCCAACAAGGCCAUACAAGUAUCCAUAAACCUGACAUCUGUCUACAAGUCUCUGAGAGUACAUAAAAUCAUAAAGGUCGGGAUAGGGCCCCGCCAUACCAAUCAAUACAUAUCCAAAGCAUACUGACCAAAUAGGCAACUCCGGAGCAAGUGGAGUGCACCAACACCUCCGCUGAGCUGAUAGCCUACUCGGAGGUGCCAACCUAUCAAUUGGGACUUGCGGGUAUGAAAUGCAGUGUCCCCAAGCAAAAGGGAUGUCAGUACAAAUAAAGUACCGAGUAUGUAAGGUAGGAAAGCAUAAACAAAAACAGUAAUAUAAAGAGAGAUAGAUGAGAUACAACCUAUAACAUAUGCGUGCCUCUGGGGGCUACUAACAUGAAAUGCAUAAUACAUAUAUAUACAUAAACUUUUAAAAACAUACGACUCUGUAGGCAUCAUCACAUCGUACCCAGCCUUAAAGAGGACUCGGUAAAAACGUACCCGGCCAUCAUAAGGCUCGGUAGAAUCGUACCUGUCCAUGUGGAGCUCGUUAACCCAACUGAUCAGUGGUUGCACAAUAGGUGCCGUACCCGGCCAACUAUAGCGCGGCUCGGUAGAUUAAAGUAGAUACAUAUAUAAUGCAUGUUGGACUCAUAGAAUCACGUUCUAAACCUUUCGGAGUGACGUAAGGUCAUUGCAUCUUCGAUUAACAUUAUGGACAUCCCUACCAUCAAUAUGAACCUUAGUAGGAUUUAAGGAUCAUACACACUUGCUUAGAAUAACUUUAUAAGGAAAUAACAACAUGGACAACCUUAGUUUUUAGGAGUAGAUCCGUUAUGAAUUAGCAUACCGUUUAUGUUCGUUUUACUUUAGAUCAUGCCAAUAGAAAGAAGUAAAUGCCUUAACAUACCUUAACCAUGGUGAGUCCUUAAUACCUCCCAAGCUACUCUUCAAACAACUCAACUCAAUCUACCAUUGCAUAAGGAGAUUCAAAAUUUGUAUUGAAUAAAGGCUAAGUCUGCAACUUAAACUUGUUGUUCGUUUAUAUAAAUUCGGGCAUCAUCUCCCCUAAAACAAGAGCCNNNNNNNNNNNNNNNNNNNNNNNNNGAGCGACAUGCUCCAAUUGGAAUUCGUAUACCCCAUAUCAUCCCUUAUAGACUUUUUGCUUUAACUUAAUAGUAUCAUUAACAUGAUAAUGAAGUCAUUCAUCAAUAAUUCCAGCCUUAUACCAUAUAUCCAUAACAAAGAAAAUGAUCCACAACUCCAAUUAUUCUUAAUUAGCAACUUUAUACACUAGUUCAUGUCUAGUUCAUCUAUUUAACAUAACCAAUGCCAAGGUAACCUUAAGCGCCUGUAGGAACACAAUAUAAUUACCUGCUAAAGUGGAUGCAAGUCGAAAUCCAUGUUAUAUUUAGACUACAACAUCCCAACACACCCUAAUCAAUUCAUACCAAAAACGACGACUAUAGUAGUGUCCAACGCCCCGAAAAUAUUACAAAGAAUGACUAAUCCAUCAUUUCGCCAUUAGGUGGUAUUUCUCCACACAAUUUAUCUUCCAAAAAGUCCAUUAAAUAGCAGCAAAAUAUACUACCCAAAAGCUACACGAAACAGCCCACAAAACAGUCCAUUACAAAUCAAAUAACUCGAACCCACGGCUUCCGAUCACUGUCCCGUGAGUUCUAAUUAUUAUGAAAUAAAUUAAUCAAUCUUACUUGAUGUUUAAGAGCAUGAAACCAGAAAUUAGGCAUUUUUAUUAACUUCAAAAUACCUUCCAAAACUCAAACUACAAAGAAAAAGAGAGGCAAUAUAGCAAUACUUACGUUGUGGGGAUCGUUCUAGUGUUAUUGCUUCUUGAUUUCGUGUCCGGGAUGAUGGUAUUAUUUGAAACUCUUGUAGAGAGCUUAAGGGUAAUGCUAGGGGUCUUAUUUGGUCGUGUCUCUGGAAAU
This 9468-nucleotide long non-coding RNA is filed under the name Nicotiana tabacum (common tobacco). RNAcentral's name for it is "long non-coding RNA (NTAB_LNC012572)". The record is from RNAcentral. Lineage: Eukaryota; Viridiplantae; Streptophyta; Magnoliopsida; Solanales; Solanaceae.